This 465-nucleotide ribosomal RNA is filed under the name uncultured bacterium. RNAcentral's name for it is "partial 16S ribosomal RNA". It matches the Rfam family "Bacterial small subunit ribosomal RNA", at positions 28 to 507 of the family's 1533-position model. The record is from RNAcentral.
GACGAACGCUGGCGGCGUGCUUAACACAUGCAAGUCGAACGGAAAGGCCCCUUUGGGGGUACUCGAGUGGCGAACGGGUGAGUAACACGUGAGUAACCUGCCCUUGACUUCGGGAUAACUUCAGGAAACUGGGGCUAAUACCGGAUAGGAAUCCUUGCUGCCUGGUGGGGGUUGGAAAGCUUCGGCGGGUUUGGAUGGACUCGCGGCUUAUCAGCUUGUUGGUGGGGUAGUGGCUUACCAAGGCUUUGACGGGUAGCCGGCCUGCGAGGGCGACCGGCCACAGUGGGGCUGAGAUACGGCCCAGACUCCUACGGGAGGCAGCAGUGGGGAAUAUUGCACAAUGGGCGGAAGCCUGAUGCAGCAACGGCGCGGGCGGGAUGACGGCCUUCGGGUUGUAAACCGCUUUCAGCAGGGGCGAAGCUUGUGGUGACGGUACCUGCAGAAGAAGCACCGGCUAACUACGUG